UAAACGACUCUCGGCAACGGAUAUCUCGGCUCUCGCAUCGAUGAAGAACGUAGCGAAAUGCGAUACUUGGUGUGAAUUGCAGAAUCCCGUGAACCAUCGAGUCUUUGAACGCAAGUUGCGCCCAAAGCCAUUAGGCCGAGGGCACGCCUGCCUGGGCGUCACAC
RNAcentral lists this ribosomal RNA (164 nucleotides) under Rubus arcticus (Arctic raspberry). RNAcentral's name for it is "5.8S ribosomal RNA". It matches the Rfam family "5.8S ribosomal RNA". Rfam says of the family: 5.8S ribosomal RNA (5.8S rRNA) is a component of the large subunit of the eukaryotic ribosome. It is transcribed by RNA polymerase I as part of the 45S precursor that also contains 18S and 28S rRNA. RNAcentral also lists the same sequence under 6 other names. Lineage: Eukaryota; Viridiplantae; Streptophyta; Magnoliopsida; Rosales; Rosaceae. The record is from RNAcentral.